ACUUCAAUGGAUUCUAAAAAAACAUUAAUGUGACUAGCGCCUCACCAAUUCCCCAUGCAGCGUAUUCCUCUCCCUAUUCAUCUUCUCCAAUCUCCAUCAAAUCCCACUAUGCAAUUACUCCAUCGAUUCAGUUACUCUUACCAUCUGCUAUAUAUCCCCGGGCCGCAUGCGAUUUGGCAAGGUAUAUGCGAUGGCGGUCGUCCCUCCUUGCGAUGAGAUCCGUAGGCGGUCUUACCCGCCCUGCCUCCGGCUUCCCCGGCAUAGGAACAGCCGCCCUGGAAGAAGAGCCCCUCGCGGUGGAUUCCACUACACCGACAUUGACCCUGGCCACUCCCGGCGAUUACCAUGCGGUCGCGUGUCAGGUGCCUCGACAGAAGGCCGGGAAGGCUCCCCAUGGAGUGGCCAACCCUGCUCGGUGUCGCGCAUCCGCCGCUCAACUUCCCCACCCCGCAUUAGGCGUUCGCAGUUUCUUUCAAGAAUCAAGACUACCAUGGACAAUCAAAGUCAGUAUAUAAAUAAUAUUUCAACUCAUGUACGCCUAAAGUAUUGUCUACAUGUUGCCAUGAAAAUAGUAGCUACAUGGAUCAUCAGAUUAAGGUAAAUGCAUAUCUCAAUACAUCAUGCUUAUUAUAAUUUCUAAUUGUCGUUUUGUGGGGAGUAGGAAAUACAGAAGUGCAUUAGUAAGAAAUUUGUACAAAAGUCCGACUUACAGCUAUUUGUGGUCGUUAUUAGAAGGGCAAAGGGAGAUUCCUAACUCUGAUGGUCACAAACAUAGUCUAAGUAUCAGGGGCAAUAACCACCCUGCAAGGCUCCAAAAAGGUAUUUGUUUCCCUUACCAUGUCCAUGAUGUAGCUCUGAUGACUAAGUAAAGUUCUGUCACUUUGCACACGUAAUCCUCUCCCUUUCUUUUGCGUGUCUGUGAUCAUACACUCAGGUUUUUCUUUCUAUUUUGUUAAUCAUUCAUGCCUGAUGCUUUUUCAUUCCUUCCCCUCCCCUCUCACUGUUGUUCAUCAGGAUUGUCGCAACUACCUGCGUCUUGGUUCCGGUUCAACCUUCUGACCGCAGGGCAUUGCUUCUACUGCAAAGAUUAACACUAUACUUCGUAUGAUAUAAGAUAACCCUGUCAAGAAUUUUAUGUUUAAUAUAGUCGCUUUGUGAUUAUCUCUAUUCUACAGUCUGGAUGUUCAAGCAAUAACAUGGUUUGCUUCUUUAUUCUUGCAUGUAUACAACACUUUAUAGCCAUUCUUUUAUAUUUUAACCAAAUACAUAUAAUCUCACACAACACUGACAGCCGACGACCUUCUCUACUCUUGAAUCGAUAUGAAUGACCAAUGAAGAUUUUAAUUUCCAAAUACAUAUUCUAUUUAUCAGCCCUUUGGUUAUAUUGUCAUAGAAUAUAGUGACAAGCUUGAAAGAAGACAUAAGUGGAUGUCUUAGAUAUGAAUGGCAUAAAAGUUAGUCGUAUGUAGUGUGUUUCUGACAAAUUAAGUGUAUGUGCCAUUUUUUUCAAUUGUUACCGUAAGUAUACAUGUUAUCAAUCAUAUAGAAACGAUUCAUCCUUAAAUACUUUUUUAAACUAUGAUAACUUAAUACUAUGAUCCGAUGUUCUAGCAAUAACAUGGUUUAUUCGUUUGUGCAGAACCAAACAUGUACACCUUGCAGUCUAGGCAUUGUUUUAUAUUAUUCCCAUAUAUCAAUAUGAGUUCACACAACACUGAUGGCCGACAACCUUCUCUACCCUUGGAUUAGGAUCCCACAUAUGAUUGAUGGGUGAAGAUUUUUUUCUCUACACUUGCAUCGAGCUAAUUUUUAUCAUUGUAGAACUUCAGUCAAGAAGACAGUUAACUUAUAUUUUGUUUUCAUUUAGAAUAUGGUUUGUCAAUUCUAGCUUAUAAGCCUUUUAUAUGGAAUUCCAUGGAUCCUAUAUUUCUAUUCAGACAACAUUGGCAGCCUUUAAUUC
This is a long non-coding RNA of Triticum aestivum (bread wheat), 1960 nucleotides long. RefSeq lists it as uncharacterized. The transcript has 2 exons. NCBI's taxonomy places the organism in Eukaryota, Viridiplantae, Streptophyta, Magnoliopsida, Poales, Poaceae. The record is from RefSeq and is a predicted model, not a curated record.